GUAACGCGUAGGAAUAUGCCUUAAAGAGGGGGAUAACUUGGGGAAACCCAAGCUAAUACCGCAUAUGCUCUGAGGAGCGAAGCUGGGGACCUUCGGGCCUGGCGCUUUAAGAAUAGCCUGCGUCUGAUUAGCUAGUUGGUGGGGUAAAGGCCUACCAAGGCGAUGAUCGGUAGCUGGUCUGAGAGGAUGGACAGCCACACUGGGACUGAGACACGGCCCAGACUCC
RNAcentral lists this ribosomal RNA (226 nucleotides) under uncultured bacterium. RNAcentral's name for it is "partial 16S ribosomal RNA". It matches the Rfam family "Bacterial small subunit ribosomal RNA", at positions 110 to 339 of the family's 1533-position model. The record is from RNAcentral.